Molecule: long non-coding RNA, 3426 nt
Organism: Chroicocephalus ridibundus (black-headed gull)
Lineage: Eukaryota; Metazoa; Chordata; Aves; Charadriiformes; Laridae
Exons: 3
Source: RefSeq, a predicted model, not a curated record
UCUUUUUUUUUUUUCCCUUUUCCUCCACUGUGGUGUAUUUUCAGUUUUUGGUUGAUCUGGGGGGUUUUAUUGUGAGAUUGCUGUAAAUCUGGUAAGUCAUCACCCAAGUUGGGAGAGCUGCAUUGUUAAAAACUUUGAAUUGUUUGAACUGUCACAAAUUUUGAGAAAAAUUUCCCUCUCCUGCCCUGUACGUCUGAAGUGAACUGGACACCCCGCAGGAAGAAAUGGAAGUGGUAAAGGCUUGGAAGGUCUAACAACCGGCCGGGCUAAAUGAAGUUUUACAGAUUCCUGAAACGAAAUGUCCUCUUGUUAUUCCCAUGUCUCAGAGAGAAAGGAGCUAUUUCUGUCCAACCCAUAAAUGAUUUCAGCUCUGUAGCGCUAAAGAAAACUGACUUAUCAUCUGGCCCACUUCCUAAAGAAAAAUCAUCCGAGUCAGAAAAAGUAGCAAGAUGGAGCAGGUGAGGAAGAGGGAUAUCGGUCAAGGUCUGAACUGCUCUCUAGGACUACUCCUGAGACACAGCCUGAAUCUCACGCGCUUGUAAGUCGUGCUCUGCUCCUGACACACCGUGGAACACAGUAAGUAACUUGUCAUGCCUCUAAGUUCAAGGGCUGCUCUCUGUUGGAAGGAUUUUAUUUUAUAUCUAUUGUUUCUGCAGGUGACUGGAAUUCAAGACAAUCUUGAGUAGUGUGGCCAGAGCAGCUUUCCAGUCUGUUUCCCAAGCGUUGUGCUGGUAGAGCGACUGCUUGGAAAUCGAGAGGAUGCAAGAGCCAAAUUCUUGUGCUGGCAAGGGCCAGAAGAGAGAAUGAAGACUAUAGAACUAAUGAGGUACAUGCUCCGGGCUCCAUGGCUGUACCCCCUAGGGCACCAGCUGCACCUGCCUGGGAAGAGAUGCUACCUGGAAAGUUGCUACCUUCUCUUUCUUCCACUUCAGGCCCGUGCUUUGGGAGCAAACAGAAGCAGCUGCGGUGUGCAGGCCAUACUGAAAGGCAGCCUGGCUGCCAUACCAAAGACCUGUCCUAGUCUUCCUUCAAGCAAGCCCAAGCUGAUGGACCUUAAAAGACAGCGCCUGAAUUCCUCUAGAAGGAUUCUCACAGCAGGUGCUUCUGGAGAAUGGUUAUGUGGAGCAGAUAUGAACGUAAGUCAUCCAUGUCACAGGGUGUUCACCACAGUUCUGUCCCAAACACAGGCCUCGCUGACUUGCACUUGGAAGCAGCAGUCCCACGUACUUAUUUCUAGGAUUUCUGAAUUUGGAUAUAACUCUACAGUUACUUUCUAGCAGUUUAUCUACCUCCUGACUAUUGCUUUCAGCAGCUGAGAUAACCUCCUAGAGGACUUUGGGAUCUUUGUAAUGGAUGAUUAAUACAUAUUUUUUUAAAUGUAAGAUUUUAAGUAAAAAUUCUUUUGUGAGAUUUGUUUUUUAAUAACUUAGUUGGUAGCCUGGUUGGUGGCUUUACUUUAAUGCUUCCCCUCAAGUGUAAUUUGAGUGUCUAAUAAUUUAUGCCUACACUGACAAAGGUCUUGUUCUCAACUGCAAUUUCACUUUGGUUCUUGUAUUUCCCUCCAGCCAGUGGGACCUGUCAAGCCUGCAGAACCUUCCCAGCAGCAGAAAGCGGAAUAGCCACGUCGUCUUGUCCCAGGCAGCAGCCUGAACACAGCUGGGAUGCUCAGCGUAGGCCCAGAAGCUGGCCAGCACUCACAGACCCUGAAAUCCAGUCACAGCCUUAGUUUCCGGUUCUCACUUAGAACAGAGCAGCCAGUCACACAGAAAUGCUUCAAGUGUAAGUUCAAUUGAACUGGUUUUUGAACUAGUUACACUGUUAUCCAUGGCCAAUCAAUAUAAAUUCUUUUCUGGCCAUAGAUUCAGUCACAAACUUGUCCUAAAUAUGUGCUUUUAUCCAGCUUCAGGAUACUGAAUGCCUUCAAUGUCAUCUCUGUGCGCACCUGUUCCACUGGUGCUAUUUAAAGUGUUUGGGUGGCUAACCCUGUGAGAUGUUGUGUACAGCUCUGGGACCGUUGCGAUGGAUUCUUUCUUCUUCUCUACUGAACAGGGAGAUGAGGUGACCACCACCCUCAGAAUUUAUUACUUAAACUGCAAUUUCUAAUGCUAAUCUUGCCAAACUCCUUAAAAUACAACAGUUUAGGAUCACUGUCAAGCCUUGGGUCUCCUGUCUUUACCUUUUUCUAUUUUUAUUUAUCUUCCAUCUAUCUACUUUCAAACCAACAUUCUGUUAUGCAAUAUUUAGUUACUGCUUUUCAUCGGCUAUAUGGAAAUAGCUUUGUUCUUGGAUUCUGAGAAACUAUCCAAAUUCACAUUCCCGUAGUGGCCCCCGAAGUGAGCUUAAGCUGCUGCUUGGUCCAGGUCAGCAGGACAAAAGGGAAGAGGAAGGUUCUGUUAAUGCCUUCUGUAUUGCCUCAUUGUUAAAACAUGCAAAAUACAUCAUAUGAGAGAAAGAACUGGAAUGUUGACUAGUGACAUUGUGAUGCUUUGGUACCUGUAGAGGCCUUGAGGUAAACCUUGUUUUAUACAGCAGUUUGAACCUUAUAGUCAAUCGUGUGAAAGAUUUAGCAUGUCUAUCAGUAUAACAUUUAGAUUCCUCUCUCAGCCUGUUUUUUAAUAGGUCAUUUUAACAUUAACUGCUCAUACAGCCUACGCUGAAAAAAGUCUAGUCUCAGGCCUUUCCGUACUGAUUCACCCAAAGCUUUUAAAUCAUGGGCAUGUUUAUCUGAAAGAUGCCUUGGAGCAUGAAAGAACCUAAGCUUUCAAAGAUACAGGGAGGGGGGCUGUGUAUAACUGAAUCAACAGCACCCAAGGACACAUGUUUUUUCCCCUAUUUACACACCUGGGCAUCAAGCACAGCAGAUGUAGCUGGUGGAUGAGGUGGACGGUUUCUCUUGCUGCAGCAAGGCUUGAAUCCCAACCCUAAGGAACAGUGUGUUGGACUGCUUUCACCUGCCUCUCAGGAAGCCACAGUCUUUGCAGGGCCUUCUGGUAUCGCACUAGCCAGCAUACAGGCAUGUAAAUAAAAUAUCAUCUAAAUAAAACCUCUGAGCAUUUACAGGGACACGGGUCUCGUCAUAAUAAAGAAAACAAUGUCAGUUCCAUACCAUUUAUGACCAGGGCAGCAUCUCCAGGGAAUGCAGUUUGUUUUCUUGGACAGGCUGCAAUCACAGCUUUGCAACUGUGCUGGAAUUCCAGACAGCAGGACAUAGCUUUCCAGAGCAUGAUAUACCCACACGGGGCCCUGUCAAACCGGUCAUCCCAGCAUCUCUAUCAAGCUGCUAAGUGCAGUUUCUGGUCCCAAAAAGUGUGGUUUUAAAACCUGGCUUAUUUAAGUCUACUACAGUAAAGGUCUUCUCACAGAGUUUUUAAAAUGGGUUUUUAAACACCGACACCACCCUGCAAGGAGCUGAAAUGUAAUGGUAAG